UACGAAGGGGGCUAGCGUUGCUCGGAAUCACUGGGCGUAAAGGGCGCGUAGGCGGCCGAUUAAGUCAGGGGUGAAAUCCUGGAGCUCAACUCCAGAACUGCCUUUGAUACUGAGGAUCUUGAGUUCGGGAGAGGUGAGUGGAACUGCGAGUGUAGAGGUGAAAUUCGUAGAUAUUCGCAAGAACACCAGUGGCGAAGGCGGCUCACUGGCCCGAUACUGACGCUGAGGCACGAAAGCGUGGGGAGCAAACAGGG
RNAcentral lists this ribosomal RNA (254 nucleotides) under uncultured bacterium. Its description in RNAcentral is "partial 16S ribosomal RNA". It matches the Rfam family "Bacterial small subunit ribosomal RNA", at positions 524 to 777 of the family's 1533-position model. The record is from RNAcentral.